This 441-nucleotide ribosomal RNA is filed under the name Triticum aestivum (bread wheat). RNAcentral's name for it is "partial small subunit ribosomal RNA". The record is from RNAcentral. Lineage: Eukaryota; Viridiplantae; Streptophyta; Magnoliopsida; Poales; Poaceae.
AUGGCGGCGCGCGCCCACGACGCCGCAGUGCUCGCACUCUCCGGCCGCGCCGCCUGCCUCAACUUCGCCGACUCCGCAUGGCGGAUGCUACUCGUGCUUGCGGCCGGGUCGUUCGGCUUCGGCAGCGCGCGGGAGAUCAAGCUUGCCGUCGCCGUUGCCGUCAUCGCGUUCCAGCAGCAGCAGCAGAUUAUUCUUCCAGUCGCGUGUCCAACAGUGGAGGCGGCCGCCAGCCCGAGCAACACUCUUUUUUACAUGUCGUCCCGCGACUUGCUGGAGCUCGACGAGGAGCAGUGGUUUGGCGGCAUGGACGCUGGGUCGUACUACGAGAGCUUGGCGCAGGGGAUGCUCAUGGCGCCGCCGGACGACAGAGCGAGGCGGGAGGACGCCGAGCAGACCGGCGUCGAGACACUGACGCCGCUAUGGAACUAUUUGUUUGACUAA